Stegodyphus dumicola is the source of this 560-nucleotide long non-coding RNA. RefSeq lists it as uncharacterized. NCBI's taxonomy places the organism in Eukaryota, Metazoa, Arthropoda, Arachnida, Araneae, Eresidae. The record is from RefSeq and is a predicted model, not a curated record.
ACUAAGAUGUUUAUUUGCAGGUAUUUAUACGCAUCAGCUUCCUACUUACCUGGCCUGUCUACUCAACUGGAAAUGAAGGAGAGAAAUUUCUUGGAUUGAAGUCCAUUCUUCUUGCUUAUUUACAACAAUAUCACUACACAGCUAUUCACGAUGCGACAUACAGGUCUUUAGAGGGUAAAUUGCUGUUAUAUUGGAAGCCCAGGAAAGCUGUCGAGCCGUGACUACAAAGUUACAUGAUAAGAUGGUGGAUCUCCUAGGAGCAGCUUUUGUUAACUCUCUCAGCGUAACAGACUGAAAAUUCCGUAUAGAAGACUGGCUUUCUUAUUCAUAACACAUGAAAAUAUCUGCGAGCUUUUAAUAUAUCCGAUUUCAGUUUGGAUAUAUAUUAGAAGAAACAGAAUCAAGGUACAAAGUGAAAGAACAAUUUUUUUAAACAUAAUUAAGAAAAUACAAUUUAUUCAUGACAUUCUGAGAAACUUUGAAAUUUGAGGGUUAUAUCCGUAAUGCUUGGAGAAAUUUCUGUAGCAUUAAAUUCUGUAUUAAAGGCAUUGUUUGUUUAA